GAGUGGCAGACGGGUGAGUAACGCGUGGGAACGUACCCUUUGGUUCGGAAUAGCCCUUGGAAACGAGGAGUAAUACCGAAUGAGCCCUACGGGGGAAAGAUUUAUCGCCGAAGGAUCGGCCCGCGUUAGAUUAGCUAGUUGGUGAGGUAAUGGCUCACCAAGGCGACGAUCUAUAGCUGGUUUGAGAGGAUGAUCAGCCACACUGGGACUGAGACACGGCCCAGACUCCUACGGGAGGCAGCAGUGGGGAAUCUUGGACAAUGGGGGAAACCCUGAUCCAGCCAUGCCGCGUGAAUGAUGAAGGCCUUAGGGUUGUAAAAUUCUUUCAGUGGGGAAGAUAAUGACGGUACCCACAGAAGAAGCCCCGGCUAACUCCGUGCCAGCAGCCGCGGUAAUACGGAGGGGGCUAGCGUUGUUCGGAAUUACUGGGCGUAAAGCGCGCGUAGGCGGACUAGCCAGUCAGAGGUGAAAGCCCAGGGCUCAACCCUGGAACUGCCUUUGAUACUGUUAGUCUGGAGUCCGGGAGAGGUGUGUGGAAUUCCGAGUGUAGAGGUGAAAUUCGUAGAUAUUCGGAGGAACACCAGAGGCGAAGGCGGCACA
Molecule: ribosomal RNA, 600 nt
Filed under: Marinicauda pacifica
Lineage: Bacteria; Pseudomonadati; Pseudomonadota; Alphaproteobacteria; Maricaulales; Maricaulaceae
Description: bacterial SSU rRNA
Rfam family: Bacterial small subunit ribosomal RNA
Source: RNAcentral